GCUAACGUAGCUUAAUCAAAGCAUAACACUGAAGAUGUUAAGAUGGACCUUAAAAUGGUCUCGUAAGCA
Molecule: transfer RNA, 69 nt
Filed under: Hyporhamphus quoyi
Lineage: Eukaryota; Metazoa; Chordata; Actinopteri; Beloniformes; Hemiramphidae
Description: tRNA-Phe
Rfam family: tRNA
About the family: Transfer RNA (tRNA) molecules are approximately 80 nucleotides in length.
Source: RNAcentral